Molecule: unclassified non-coding RNA, 411 nt
Filed under: Lasianthus pedunculatus
Lineage: Eukaryota; Viridiplantae; Streptophyta; Magnoliopsida; Gentianales; Rubiaceae
Description: partial external transcribed spacer
Source: RNAcentral
CAGGUAGCAUUCCUCGCUGACAAUACCCGACGGGGCACGCAAAUGCCACGGCGAGAGUCGUUCAGUUGGGGCAAAAAUAGCUAGUUUCGGGCCAAGGCGAGACAUUGCUGUCGUACCCGAAUGCAUCUUCCGCAUCCGAGAGCUCAAGCGAUAAUUCAUGGGCCACAAAAACAACGAUUGCGAUUCGAGUUACGUGGGACACAAAGGACGCUUCGAGGUUCACCGCGUCGAAUGCCCAUAACGAAAUGGGUAGACGCCGGUGAAUGAUACACGAAUUGGCAACAUAAUUCCGUAUAGUAGGCAUGCAACACAGGAAACCAACGAAAACGUUCGGCCAAGGCAAGCCGCUCUUGCACCACCAAAUGAAGAGGAGAGCACGGCCGGCCGUCUUUGCCCAAGCAAUGAUCCAAC